GAUGAACGCUGGCGGCGUGCCUAAUACAUGCAAGUCGAGCGAACAGAUGAGGAGCUUGCUCCUCUGACGUUAGCGGCGGACGGGUGAGUAACACGUGGAUAACCUACCUAUAAGACUGGGAUAACUUCGGGAAACCGGAGCUAAUACCGGAUAAUAUAUUGAACCGCAUGGUUCAAUAGUGAAAGACGGUUUUGCUGUCACUUAUAGAUGGAUCCGCGCCGCAUUAGCUAGUUGGUAAGGUAACGGCUUACCAAGGCGACGAUGCGUAGCCGACCUGAGAGGGUGAUCGGCCACACAGGAACUGAGACACGGUCCAGACUCCUACGGGAGGCAGCAGUAGGGAAUCUUCCGCAAUGGGCGAAAGCCUGACGGAGCAACGCCGCGUGAGUGAUGAAGGUCUUCGGAUCGUAAAACUCUGUUAUUAGGGAAGAACAAAUGUGUAAGUAACUAUGCACGUCUUGACGGUACCUAAUCAGAAAGCCACGGCUAACUACGUG
Molecule: ribosomal RNA, 497 nt
Filed under: uncultured bacterium
Lineage: Bacteria
Description: partial 16S ribosomal RNA
Rfam family: Bacterial small subunit ribosomal RNA
Source: RNAcentral